This 431-nucleotide ribosomal RNA is filed under the name uncultured Elusimicrobium sp. RNAcentral describes it as "bacterial SSU rRNA". It matches the Rfam family "Bacterial small subunit ribosomal RNA", at positions 958 to 1385 of the family's 1533-position model. The record is from RNAcentral. Lineage: Bacteria; Pseudomonadati; Elusimicrobiota; Elusimicrobia; Elusimicrobiales; Elusimicrobiaceae.
AACGCGAAGAACCUUACCUGGGCUUGAACUACUGGUAGUAAGUCUUUGGAAACAGAGGCUGAUCCGCAAGGAAGCCAGCAGAGGUGCUGCAUGGUUGUCGUCAGCUCGUGUCGUGAGAUGUUGGGUUAAGUCCCGCAACGAGCGCAACCCCUAUCUCAUGUUGCUAAUCCCGCAAGGGAUGCACUUUUGAGAAACUGCCUUCGAUAAGAAGGAGGAAGGUGGGGACGACGUCAAAUCCUCAUGGCCCUUAUGUCCAGGGCUACACACGUGCUACAAUGGUCGGUACAACGGGAAGCAAUACCGUAAGGUGGAGCAAAACCCUGAAAGCCGGCCCCAGUUCAGAUCGUGGGCUGCAACUCGCCCACGUGAAGGCGGAAUCGCUAGUAAUCGCGAAUCAGCAGGUCGCGGUGAAUACGUUCCCGGGCCUUGUA